UUUUAGCCCGGAUUGAAGCUAUUGUUUGAGCUCAUUUUGUUUAUUUCGGCGCGGCAGCUUCGCUGCCGCGCCGAAACAAACAAAAUAGCGAGUGCGGAAAGCCGGAAAAAGC
This 112-nucleotide unclassified non-coding RNA is filed under the name Chryseobacterium takakiae. RNAcentral describes it as "Flavo-1 RNA". Lineage: Bacteria; Pseudomonadati; Bacteroidota; Flavobacteriia; Flavobacteriales; Weeksellaceae. The record is from RNAcentral.